UACGUAGGGGGCGAGCGUUGUCCGAAGUUACUGGGCGUAAAGCGCGCGUAGGCGGCUCUUUAAGUGACUGGUGAAAUCCCCGGGCUCAACCCGGGGUAGUCUGGUCAUACUGGGGAGCUAGAGUGUGGGAGGGGAGAGCGGAACUCCUGGUGUAGCGGUGAUAUGCGUAGAGAUCAGGAAGAACACCCGUGGCGAAGGCGGCUCUCUGGACCAUAACUGACGCUGAGGUGCGAAAGCCAGGGGAGCGAACGGG
This 253-nucleotide ribosomal RNA is filed under the name uncultured bacterium. RNAcentral's name for it is "partial 16S ribosomal RNA". It matches the Rfam family "Bacterial small subunit ribosomal RNA", at positions 524 to 776 of the family's 1533-position model. The record is from RNAcentral.